GAUGAACGCUGGCGGCGUGCCUAAUACAUGCAAGUCGAGCGAACAGACGAGGAGCUUGCUCCUCUGACUUUAGCGGCGGACGGGUGAGUAACACGUGGAUAACCUACCUAUAAGACUGGGAUCACUUCGGGAAACCGGAGCUAAUACCGGAUAAUAUAUUUAACCGCAUGGUUCAAUAUUGAAAGACGGUUUUGCUGUCACUUAUAGAUGGAUCCGCGCCGCAUUAGCUAGUUGGUAAGGUAACGGCUUACCAAGGCAACGAUGCGUAGCCGACCUGAGAGGGUGAUCGGCCACACUGGAACUGAGACACGGUCCAGACUCCUACGGGAGGCAGCAGUAGGGAAUCUUCCGCAAAGGGCGAAAGCCUGACGGAGCAACGCCGCGUGAGUGAUGAAGGUCUUCGGAUCGUAAAACUCUGUUAGUAGGGAAGAACAAAUGUGUAAGUAACUAUGCACGUAUUGACGGUACCUAAUCAGAAAGCCACGGCUAACUACGUG
This 497-nucleotide ribosomal RNA is filed under the name uncultured bacterium. RNAcentral's name for it is "partial 16S ribosomal RNA". It matches the Rfam family "Bacterial small subunit ribosomal RNA", at positions 28 to 507 of the family's 1533-position model. The record is from RNAcentral.